CCGCCGACCAUUCCCGACGAGCUCCUGGAGGAGAUCUUCAUCCGCCUGCCCACCCCGGACGCGCUCGCCCGCGCCUCCGCCGCCUGCACCUCCUUCCGCCGGGUCAUCAAAGGCCGCGCCUUCCGCACGCUGCAUGGCCCUCCCCUCCUCGGCUUCAUGGACGCGGGCGGAUUCCACCCCGCCCAGGCGCCGCACCCCUCCGCCCCGCUCGCCCCCUGCGGAGCCGACUUCUCCUUCGUCCCGGCCGUCGUUUCUUCUUCGUCCUACUACGUCCCGCCGGGCGCCCAAGAAGACGACGGGGAAGGCCCACGCUGGCGCCCCCGCGACGUCCGCGACGGCCGCGUCCUCCUCGAUUGGAGAUCCUUCUACCCCCGUUCCGUCCACAUGUGGAGCUACCGCCAAGACUGUGCCCGCCGUCAGGUAAGCAUCCUCAUGGACUCCAGUGAGCUCGGUGAUGAAGAACGCUGUGACCGCCCGACGUGGACCAAAUGGGAGCGGUGCAACGCUGCCGACUUCCACCUUGCCGUCUAUGACCCGCUGUCCAGCAGAUAUGUCUUGCUUCCAACCAUACCUGAGGACCUCGCCGCCCAACCGCAGGAUCGCCUCCAUGGAUUCAAGCCCGUGCUUGCUCCCAACACCAGGGACGACGGCGAGGAAGAGCCCUUCAAGGUGAUAUGCAUAGCAAGAUACAUGACGAAGCUUGUCCUCUUUGUGCUCCCGGCCACAACUAUGCAAUGGUCUAUG
RNAcentral lists this ribosomal RNA (744 nucleotides) under Triticum aestivum (bread wheat). RNAcentral describes it as "partial small subunit ribosomal RNA". Lineage: Eukaryota; Viridiplantae; Streptophyta; Magnoliopsida; Poales; Poaceae. The record is from RNAcentral.